Molecule: unclassified non-coding RNA, 355 nt
Filed under: soil metagenome
Description: partial contains 5.8S ribosomal RNA, internal transcribed spacer 2, and large subunit ribosomal RNA
Rfam family: 5.8S ribosomal RNA (bases 1-120)
Source: RNAcentral
GAUGAAGAACGCAGCGAAAUGCGAUAAGUAAUGUGAAUUGCAGAAUUCCGUGAAUCAUCGAAUCUUUGAACGCACAUUGCGCCCAUCAGUACUCUGGUGGGCAUGCCUGUUCGAGCGUCAUUUCAACCCUCAGGCCCUGUACUGCCUGGCGUUGGGGCUUCUGCGAGUGCCAACUAUAGCUCUCGCAGGCCCCCAAGAUCAGUGGCGGGCCCGCCGCGGCUCCGAGCGUAGUAGUUUACUUUCUCGCUUGGGAGGCUCGGCGGUUUCCAGCCGUCAAAAAUCAUUUCUUACAAAAGGUUGACCUCGGAUCAGGUAGGGAUACCCGCUGAACUUAAGCAUAUCAAUAAGCGGAGGA